Molecule: ribosomal RNA, 460 nt
Filed under: uncultured bacterium
Lineage: Bacteria
Description: partial 16S ribosomal RNA
Rfam family: Bacterial small subunit ribosomal RNA
Source: RNAcentral
CCUACGGGAGGCUGCAGUGAGGAAUAUUGGUCAAUGGCCGGAAGGCUGAACCAGCCAUGCCGCGUGAAGGUCAGUGCCCUAUGGGCGUUAAACUUCUUUUGUGCGGGAGCAAUAAUGGUCACGUGUGGCCAGACGAGAGUACCGUACGAAUAAGCAACGGCUAACUCCGUGCCAGCAGCCGCGGUAAUACGGGGGAGGCAAGCGUUAUCCGGAUUUAUUGGGGUUAAAGGUGGCGUAGGCUGUGAGGUAAGUCAGCGGUGAAAUGCCCCGGCUCAACGGGGUGAAGUGCCAUUGAUACUGCCUUGCUGGAAUGCGGAUGCCGUGGGAGGAAUGUGUGGUGUAGCGGUGAAAUGCAUAGAUAUCACACAGAACACCGAUUGCGAAGGCAUCUCACGAAUCCGCGAUUGACGCUGAUGCACGAAAGCGUGGGUAUCAAACAGGAUUAGAUACCCGGGUAGUC